CCCACGGGAAUUGUUUAUAUUCAAAGCAGGCUGAAAGUUGUUUCAACUGUGAUGGCUAAAAGAUUGGAGGACAAAUAAACAUUUAUGUUGUCCAGAUUUCUUUGGAAAACCCUUU
Oryctolagus cuniculus (rabbit) is the source of this 115-nucleotide non-coding RNA. The record is from Rfam. Lineage: Eukaryota; Metazoa; Chordata; Mammalia; Lagomorpha; Leporidae.